GUAUAUUUUUUUUAUAAGAUUUUGAAUUUUUUGCAAUGUACAAUGUUGUGUAAUUUAGAUUUAGAUUGUUUUUCCCAUGUUGAUCAUGUGAAUAUUUACAAAUGUCGGUACUUGUUAACUUGAAUGAUCGAAUAAAUUAUCAGUAAUGUUUGAAAUUUAAAAUGAUUUUUUUCGAAUUAGAAAUCCAGUUUUUACCUGUUUUAAGAUUUCUAUUUAUUACCUUUAUUUGGUAUUGAAACAUCCUUAACUUUUUAUGUCCCACCUAUGAUAGUAGAGGGGCAUUAUGUUUUCUGGUCUGUGGCUCCGUUCGUCUGUGCGUCCGUCCGUUCAGGUUAAAGUUUUUGGUCAAGGUAGUUUUUGAUGAAGCUGAAGUCCAAUCAACUUGAAACUUAGUAGACUUGUUGCUUAUGAUAUGAUCUUUCUAAUUUUAAAGCCAAAUUAGACUUUUGACCCCCAUUUCACGGUCCACUGAACAUAGAAAAUGAAAGUGGGAGUUUCAGGUUAAAGUUUUUGGUCAAGGUAGUUUUUGAUAAAAUUGAAGUCCAAUCAACUUGAAACUUAGUACAUAUAUUCCCUAUAGUAUAGUCUUUCUAAUUUUAAUACCAAAUUAGAUUAUUACCCAAUUUCACGGUCCAUAGAACAUGGAAAAGGAUAGUGCGAGUGGGGCAUCCGUGUACUUUGGACACAUUCUUGUUAUAGUAGUUCCUUAAACGGGCAAAUGUCAUUUUGUAUCUGUUAAACUAGGGACAAUUAUUCAGUGGGAAAAUUAAUAAAAAUAUUUUGAAGAGGUUUCUAUGAUUUUUGUUUAUUACUUUGACAACAAUUAUAAAAUCACUAUAGAUGUUAUAAGAAUGUUAUUUUUUUCUUCAAAAUCUGGUUAUUACCGUGGAUUAUUUUGUUUGUGGGUACCAACUUUUGAGGAUUGAGGAAAAUUAUAUUUUGUGAAUAUGUUAUUUCAGGGUUUUAUCCAAUUCUGAAUACAAGAUGAUAGAAAAUUUGUAUUCAGUGAAUACUUAAGGUGGUACCCAACACUUUAACUAAAAUUAAUUUGGCUCGUUUAAUUUUCUUAAAAUUUUGGCAAAGUAUUUACUUUGACCCCUUGACAAAAAUAAAAAAAAUUUAAAAAUUUUGAACCAACCGUUUUAUCAGAAUUAUUACACUGGUUAUAUAGCAAUUUGACAAACACUAAUUUUGAUCAUUGAGAAGCUUAAUAUUCCUUUAACAACACAACGUUAUUAAAACGUUUAGCUGACUUUACAGAGUUAUCUCCCUGUAGUGUUAGGUACCACCUUAAAUUUACAAUUCACCUGGAUAAACAAAAUAGUAGCUGGAAACUAAUGAUUGAUCCACAGUUUUGUUGAUAAUAUUAAAAACAUUUGUUAUUACAUGUUGAAUAACUCCUAUUAUAUAAAAUGUUAUUGUGUUGGCCACACCUUAAUGAUUUAUGACUCUUUAAAGUUUCCCGCACAGAGCCUGGAAACUCCUAUCUCUGUUUCUAUCUUUUCAAAUUUGCUAUCUUUCACAAAACCUAAAUCUAUUUAAUGACAAAAC
RNAcentral lists this long non-coding RNA (1551 nucleotides) under Mytilus galloprovincialis (Mediterranean mussel). Lineage: Eukaryota; Metazoa; Mollusca; Bivalvia; Mytilida; Mytilidae. The record is from RNAcentral.